This 468-nucleotide ribosomal RNA is filed under the name uncultured bacterium. Its description in RNAcentral is "partial 16S ribosomal RNA". It matches the Rfam family "Bacterial small subunit ribosomal RNA", at positions 28 to 507 of the family's 1533-position model. The record is from RNAcentral.
GACGAACGCUGGCGGCGUGCUUAACACAUGCAAGUCGAACGGAAAGGCCCUGCUUUUGUGGGGUGCUCGAGUGGCGAACGGGUGAGUAACACGUGAGUAACCUGCCCUUGACUUUGGGAUAACUUCAGGAAACUGGGGCUAAUACCGGAUAGGAGCUCCUGCUGCAUGGUGGGGGGUGGAAAGUUUCGGCGGUUGGGGAUGGACUCGCGGCUUAUCAGCUUGGUGGUGGGGUAGUGGCUUACCAAGGCUUUGACGGGUAGCCGGCCUGGGAGGGUGACCGGCCACAUUGGGACUGAGAUACGGCCCAGACUCCUACGGGAGGCAGCAGUGGGGAAUAUUGCACAAUGGGCGGAAGCCUGAUGCAGCAACGCCGCGUGCGGGAUGACGGCCUUCGGGUUGUAAACCGCUUUCGCCUGUGACGAAGCGUGAGUGACGGUAAUGGGUAAAGAAGCACCGGCUAACUACGUG